RNAcentral lists this long non-coding RNA (449 nucleotides) under Monodelphis domestica (gray short-tailed opossum). RNAcentral's name for it is "lncRNA (ENSMODG00000043407.1)". Lineage: Eukaryota; Metazoa; Chordata; Mammalia; Didelphimorphia; Didelphidae. The record is from RNAcentral.
CUCUGACUCUGGUUUUCUGCCAUCUGGAUAGCUCCUUCUCUGGAUCCCCACUAUGAUCUCUAAAGAGCUUACCCUUUGUUUCCUCCUGCUUGGAAGCUUCUCCCCUGUAACUGAUUAUUAACCUCACGCUUGAUCUCUAUUCCUAUCUAGGAAUCUCCUAUUCCAUGCAUUCCUUGUUAUUUAUAUCUUCCUUCACUGAAUACCGUAUAAAGGAAGAUAUAAAAGGGAGGUUGCUGACUGGCCGCUGUAAUACCUCAGAAGUUACUCAGGGAAUCUCUGAUAUAUCAGAUUUUAGGUGGAGCAAGGAUUACAAAAUGUGACCUGGAGACAAGAAAACUCUGCAUCUGGUCUCAGACACUUAAUAUCUGGAUUACUCUGGGCAAGUCAUUUAACCUGUAUUUCUCUCAAUGUCAUCAUCUAUAAAAUGGGAAUAAUAGUAGUUAAAAUAA